Onychostoma macrolepis is the source of this 859-nucleotide long non-coding RNA. RefSeq lists it as uncharacterized. The record is from RefSeq and is a predicted model, not a curated record. Lineage: Eukaryota; Metazoa; Chordata; Actinopteri; Cypriniformes; Cyprinidae. The transcript has 2 exons.
UGUUACUAGCCAUGACAAAAUCAUAAUCCUGGGAGAUGUUAAUAUCCAUGUAUGCUGUGACUCUAAACCACUCUCAAAAGAGUUUCGAAGUCUCAUUGACUCAUUUGAUUUUGAUCAGUGGGUGUCUGGCCCCACUCAUAUUCAGGGUCAUACUCUGGAUUUAAUUUUAUCACGUGGUUUGCCUGUAUUGGACAUUAACAUCUUAGACUCAGGCAUGUCAGAUCAUUUGCCAAUCUUACUUUCUGUACCUUCUACUGGAACUACACAUAAGCAUCAACCUCGUGCACGGCUGACUCGUGUCUUUUCCGGUUGCUCUAGCAAGGAUUUUACAGUUUUAUAUUCUGAAUUACGUGCUAACCAGGACAUGGACUCAUGUUUAAGCAAUCUAGAUGCUGUUGAACAUUUAAACUGUUUUAAUUCUACCUGUUCUAAUAUUUUAGAUGUUGUUGCUCCCCUUAAGAAGAAAAAGCAUAAGCACGUCUCUAAGCCCUGGUUAGAUGACACACUCGUUCACUCAGACAGACCUGUAGAAGGCUGAACCUUCCCGGCAGCAACAGAGCUGAACUUGAGGAACGCAGCUGGGAAGCAUUUUAAACAAGAAAUAAAACCAAUAAUUAAUAACUUCCUUUAAGUUCACUGUUGGUUGUUUUAUUUGUUAAAAUAAGUAAACCAACAAAAGGGUUAAUCUUUUUUUAUGUUGUCAUUUAUCCAGAAUAUUUUAAUGUUAAGUGUGAUAACAUGCUCUUUUUCUUUUAAAUAUCAUAAAUUAUUUAAAAUAUUUAAUUUUUUCAUUUUUAUAUUUUAAUUAUCUUAAGUUGUUAAAAAUGUUUAUUUUUCUUAAUAAAAGCUGUAUAUUUCA